This 819-nucleotide ribosomal RNA is filed under the name Lactiplantibacillus plantarum. RNAcentral's name for it is "bacterial SSU rRNA". It matches the Rfam family "Bacterial small subunit ribosomal RNA", at positions 57 to 840 of the family's 1533-position model. The record is from RNAcentral. Lineage: Bacteria; Bacillati; Bacillota; Bacilli; Lactobacillales; Lactobacillaceae.
GCAAGUCGAACGAACUCUGGUAUUGAUUGGUGCUUGCAUCAUGAUUUACAUUUGAGUGAGUGGCGAACUGGUGAGUAACACGUGGGAAACCUGCCCAGAAGCGGGGGAUAACACCUGGAAACAGAUGCUAAUACCGCAUAACAACUUGGACCGCAUGGUCCGAGUUUGAAAGAUGGCUUCGGCUAUCACUUUUGGAUGGUCCCGCGGCGUAUUAGCUAGAUGGUGAGGUAACGGCUCACCAUGGCAAUGAUACGUAGCCGACCUGAGAGGGUAAUCGGCCACAUUGGGACUGAGACACGGCCCAAACUCCUACGGGAGGCAGCAGUAGGGAAUCUUCCACAAUGGACGAAAGUCUGAUGGAGCAACGCCGCGUGAGUGAAGAAGGGUUUCGGCUCGUAAAACUCUGUUGUUAAAGAAGAACAUAUCUGAGAGUAACUGUUCAGGUAUUGACGGUAUUUAACCAGAAAGCCACGGCUAACUACGUGCCAGCAGCCGCGGUAAUACGUAGGUGGCAAGCGUUGUCCGGAUUUAUUGGGCGUAAAGCGAGCGCAGGCGGUUUUUUAAGUCUGAUGUGAAAGCCUUCGGCUCAACCGAAGAAGUGCAUCGGAAACUGGGAAACUUGAGUGCAGAAGAGGACAGUGGAACUCCAUGUGUAGCGGUGAAAUGCGUAGAUAUAUGGAAGAACACCAGUGGCGAAGGCGGCUGUCUGGUCUGUAACUGACGCUGAGGCUCGAAAGUAUGGGUAGCAAACAGGAUUAGAUACCCUGGUAGUCCAUACCGUAAACGAUGAAUGCUAAGUGUUGGAGGGUUUCCGCCCUU